UACGUAGGGGCCUAGCGUUGUCCGGAUUUAUUGGGCGUAAAGAGCUCGUAGGCGGUCUGUCGCGUCGGUCGUGAAAACUUGGGGCUUAACCCUGAGCUUGCGGUCGAUACGGGCAUGACUGGAGUUCGGUAGGGGAGACUGGAAUUCCUGGUGUAGCGGUGAAAUGCGCAGAUAUCAGGAGGAACACCGGUGGCGAAGGCGGGUCUCUGGGCCGAUACUGACGCUGAGGAGCGAAAGCGUGGGGAGCGAACAGG
Molecule: ribosomal RNA, 254 nt
Filed under: uncultured bacterium
Lineage: Bacteria
Description: partial 16S ribosomal RNA
Rfam family: Bacterial small subunit ribosomal RNA
Source: RNAcentral